Molecule: non-coding RNA, 818 nt
Organism: Arachis ipaensis
Lineage: Eukaryota; Viridiplantae; Streptophyta; Magnoliopsida; Fabales; Fabaceae
Source: RefSeq, a predicted model, not a curated record
GGUGUAAAGGGAACAUUGUUGUUAUUAUUGAAAACACGAUAGGUCACAAAAACAGACACACAAAGUGCAGCUACUGAUAGUACUAGUGAGAAGGCACUGGCAAUACUCCAUGAAGUACUUGACCCUGUUGAUCCUGAACUUCCAUGCAAAGAACUGCCGAUAGAUAUAUCGAUGGGAACCCAAUUGCAGCUGAUCGAGUAGUGCCCGGAACCAUGCCAUGGUUGACCGUUUUCUGGAUACCAGAAUGCAACGGACAUCAUACUGGUUGCACCAAUGGUAAAUUGCACAUCCUGCAAGAUUCAAGUUGUCUGAGUUAUUAUAUACAAAUGAGAAGUGACAGAGUUAGGCUAUGCUUAGAAGAAUGUAAAUGAAGGGAGAUAAGGAGUGAAAGACACAAAGCUAACGAAACCAUGUUUUGAAGUAUUGCUUUUGAGGGAAGAGUGGCAUGGCCUGUGAGGGGCAACCUGUCCCUUCCUUGCCAUCCAGAAACUCUAUUUGUCGACCCUCCAAAUCGGGUGGUCAAGGAGGAACACACUCGUAAAAUAAUUCUUGUCAUUUUCUUCUAUCAUAAACAAUGUUAAACAACCAAACAAAAGACUAGCAUGAUCUUGUUCAUUCUAGCCAUUCUUUUCUCCACUCUUCAUAGAACUCCCAAAUAUAUCCUUAAAUUUGACUACUGCUUCUAUAACCAGCAGAUCACAAAGAAAGGGCAUGGUCUAAAGCAUAAGUUUGCAUAAAAGCAUUCUUAAAUUAGGAAGUUAAGAACAAGGCCAUAUUUGUUUUCCAAAACCAAAGUUGUUUCAGAGUUUAUUAACUUA